GUUGCUGCCACGAUCAGUGCCACAGAGACCCUCUCGGAAGAGGAGCAGGAAGAGCUAAGAAGAGAACUUGCAAAGGUAGAAGAAGAAAUCCAGACUCUGUCUCAAGUGUUAGCAGCAAAAGAGAAGCAUCUAGCAGAGAUCAAGCGGAAACUUGGAAUCAAUUCUCUACAGGAACUAAAACAGAACAUUGCCAAAGGGUGGCAAGACGUGACAGCAACAUCUGCGUAUGUUUCCUUGAUCAUACACUUUCCUUGGGAGUGUAAAGGACACUGUUGUGCCUUUUGUCUGGAGAGGGGAAGAAAAAGAGGAUAAGGAUGCUUCAGCAGCUUUUCUUUGGACGACACGGCACCCUUUUUUUCUGAUUUUCAAGUGUGCCUGCCUUUUUUUGUAACUUCAAUUUUUCCAGACCACUUAUUCUAAGGAAUAGAAAGAAAGCUAGCCAGUUGGAGAAAUAAAAUUC
This 460-nucleotide long non-coding RNA is filed under the name Homo sapiens (human). RNAcentral's name for it is "non-protein coding lnc-TPD52-3:9". Lineage: Eukaryota; Metazoa; Chordata; Mammalia; Primates; Hominidae. The record is from RNAcentral.